UAUGUACUCACUUCGUUCCAAAAUAUUUAUCUUAGAUUCGUAUAGAUAUGAAUGUAUCUAGUCACGGUUUAGUAUUUAAAUAUACUCAUUUCUAUAUAAAACUAAGACAAAAAUUUUAGAACGGAGGAAGUACUUA
Molecule: non-coding RNA, 136 nt
Organism: Hordeum vulgare subsp. vulgare (domesticated barley)
Lineage: Eukaryota; Viridiplantae; Streptophyta; Magnoliopsida; Poales; Poaceae
Source: Rfam